RNAcentral lists this ribosomal RNA (253 nucleotides) under uncultured bacterium. Its description in RNAcentral is "partial 16S ribosomal RNA". It matches the Rfam family "Bacterial small subunit ribosomal RNA", at positions 524 to 776 of the family's 1533-position model. The record is from RNAcentral.
GACGUAGGGCGCGAGCGUUGUCCGGAUUUAUUGGGCGUAAAGAGCUCGUAGGCGGUUUGUCGCGUCGUUCGUGAAAACUCACAGCUCAACUGUGGGCGUGCGGGCGAUACGGGCAGACUGGAGUACUGCAGGGGAGACUGGAAUUCCUGGUGUAGCGGUGGAAUGCGCAGAUAUCAGGAGGAACACCGGUGGCGAAGGCGGGUCUCUGGGCAGUAACUGACGCUGAGGAGCGAAAGCGUGGGGAGCGAACAGG